RNAcentral lists this ribosomal RNA (570 nucleotides) under Triticum aestivum (bread wheat). RNAcentral's name for it is "partial small subunit ribosomal RNA". Lineage: Eukaryota; Viridiplantae; Streptophyta; Magnoliopsida; Poales; Poaceae. The record is from RNAcentral.
AUGGCGUUACGCCUCUCCGUCUCCUCGCCGCAGAGCACGGCCUCCUCGCCGGCCAUCUCCUCAUGCCGCCCCGCCGCCUGCGGCCGCUUCCUGGCCUGCGUGGCCGCUUCUCAGAAGAGGAGCCUGAUGGUGGUGUCCGGCUCUGACGGGAGGGGAGUGGCUCCGGUGAAGUCGGGCGGCUUGGAGACGGCCACGACGGGAGCCGACGAGGUGGAAGCGCCCACAGCGGCGGUGGCGGUGACCGGGCAGGUCACGGAGGUCUGCAAGGACACCUUCUGGCCAAUUGUCAAGGCAGCAGGGGAGAAGCCCGUCGUCCUCGACAUGUACACCCAAUGGUGCGGCCCUUGCAAAGUUAUGGCACCAAAAUUCCAGGAGAUGUCUGAGAAGGACCACGACGUCGUAUUCCUCAAGCUCGAUUGCAAUCAAGACAACAGGCCUCUUGCAAAGGAGCUUGGCAUAAGGGUUGUACCAACAUUCAAGAUUUUCAAGGAUGGGAAGGUUGCAAAGGAGGUCACUGGUGCGAAGAUUGAUGAAUUAGCACGUGCGAUUGAGGAAGUGAAGUCAAGCUGA